RNAcentral lists this ribosomal RNA (242 nucleotides) under uncultured bacterium. RNAcentral describes it as "partial 16S ribosomal RNA". It matches the Rfam family "Bacterial small subunit ribosomal RNA", at positions 118 to 360 of the family's 1533-position model. The record is from RNAcentral.
UGGGUAACCUACCGAACUGUGGGGGAUAGCCGGCCUAACGGCCGAGUAAUACCGCAUACGCUCUCAGGGAGGCAUUUCUUUGAGAGGAAACCUACGGGACAGAUCGAGGGGCUCGCGGCCUAUCAGCUAGUUGGCGAGGUAACGGCUCACCAAGGCAACGACGGGUAGCUGGUCUGAGAGGAUGGCCAGCCACAUUGGGACUGAGACACGGCCCAGACUCCGUACGGGAGCAGNAGGUAGGG